GUCUAUGGCCAUGCUACCCUGAACAAGCCCGAUCCUGUCUGAUCUCGGAAGCUAAGAAGGGUCGGGCCUGGGUAGUACUUGGUUGGGAGACCACUUAGGAAGAUGAGGUGCUGUAGGCG
Molecule: ribosomal RNA, 119 nt
Filed under: Pteropus alecto (black flying fox)
Lineage: Eukaryota; Metazoa; Chordata; Mammalia; Chiroptera; Pteropodidae
Source: RNAcentral